This 497-nucleotide ribosomal RNA is filed under the name uncultured bacterium. RNAcentral describes it as "partial 16S ribosomal RNA". It matches the Rfam family "Bacterial small subunit ribosomal RNA", at positions 28 to 507 of the family's 1533-position model. The record is from RNAcentral.
GAUGAACGCUGGCGGCGUGCCUAAUACAUGCAAGUCGAGCGAACAGACGAGGAGCUUGCUCCUCUGACGUUAGCGGCGGACGGGUGAGUAACACGUGGAUAACCUACCUAUAAGACUGGGAUAACUUCGGGAAACCGGAGCUAAUACCGGAUAAUAUAUUGAACCGCAUGGUUCAAUAGUGAAAGACGGUUUUGCUGUCACUUAUAGAUGGAUCCGCGCCGCAUUAGCUAGUUGGUAAGGUAACGGCUUACCAAGGCAACGAUGCGUAGCCGACCUGAGAGGGUGAUCGGCCACACUGGAACUGAGACACGGUCCAGACUCCUACGGGAGGCAGCAGUAGGGAAUCUUCCGCAAUGGGCGAAAGCCUGACGGAGCAACGCCGCGUGAGUGAUGAAGGUCUUCGGAUCGUAAAACUCUGUUAUUAGGGAAGAACAAAUGUGUAAGUAACUAUGCACGUCUUGACGGUACCUAAUCAGAUAGCCACGGCUAACUACGUG